RNAcentral lists this ribosomal RNA (253 nucleotides) under uncultured bacterium. RNAcentral's name for it is "partial 16S ribosomal RNA". It matches the Rfam family "Bacterial small subunit ribosomal RNA", at positions 524 to 776 of the family's 1533-position model. The record is from RNAcentral.
UACGUAGGGCGCGAGCGUUGUCCGGAAUUAUUGGGCGUAAAGAGCUCGUAGGCGGCUCAUUGCGUCAACCGUGAAAACCAGCAGCUCAACUGUUGGCUUGCGGUUGAUACGGGUGGGCUGGAGUUCGGUAGGGGAGACUGGAAUUCAUGGUGUAGCAGUGAAAUGCGUAGAGAUCAUGAGGAAGACCAGUGGCGAAGGCGGGUCUCUGGACAGUUCCUGACACUGAGACACGAAGGCCAGGGGAGCAAACGGG